This 853-nucleotide ribosomal RNA is filed under the name uncultured fungus. Its description in RNAcentral is "SSU rRNA". It matches the Rfam family "Eukaryotic small subunit ribosomal RNA", at positions 564 to 1449 of the family's 1831-position model. Lineage: Eukaryota; Fungi. The record is from RNAcentral.
GUGCCAGCAGCCGCGGUAAUUCCAGCUCCAAUAGCGUAUAUUAAAGUUGUUGUGGUUAAAAAGCUCGUAGUUGAACCUUGGGCCUGGCUGGCCGGUCCGCCUCACCGCGUGCACUGGUCCGGCCGGGCCUUUCCCUCUGUGGAACCCCAUACCCUUCACUGGGCGUGGCGGGGAAACAGGACAUUUACUUUGAAAAAAUUAGAGUGCUCCAGGCAGGCCUAUGCUCGAAUACAUUAGCAUGGAAUAAUAAAAUUGGACGCGCGGUUCUAUUUUGUUGGUUUAUAGGACCGCCGUAAUGAUUAAUAGGGACAGUCGGGGGCAUCAGUAUUCAACUGUCAGAGGUGAAAUUCUUGGAUCAGUUGAAGACUAACUACUGCGAAAGCAUUUGCCAAGGAUGUUUUCAUUAGUCAGGAACGAAAGUUAGGGGAUCGAAGACGAUCAGAUACCGUCGUAGUCUUAACCAUAAACUAUGCCGACUAGGGAUCGGACGGUGUUAUUCAUGACCCGUUCGGCACCUUACGAGAAAUCAAAGUGCUUGGGCUCCAGGGGGAGUAUGGUCGCAAGGCUGAAACUUAAAGAAAUUGACGGAAGGGCACCACCAGGGGUGGAGCCUGCGGCUUAAUUUGACUCAACACGGGGAAACUCACCAGGUCCAGACACAAUAAGGAUUGACAGAUUGAGAGCUCUUUCUUGAUUUUGUGGGUGGUGGUGCAUGGCCGUUCUUAGUUGGUGGGGUGACUUGUCUGCUUAAUUGCGAUAACGAACGAGACCUUAACCUGCUAAAUAGCCCGCAUUGCUCCGGCAGUGCGCUGGCUUCUUAGAGGGACUUCGCUCAAGCCGAAGGAAGUUUGAA